UACGAAGGGUGCUAGCGUUGUUCGGAAUCACUGGGCGUAAAGCGCGCGUAGGCGGCCAAUCAAGUCAGGGGUGAAAUCCCACAGCUUAACUGUGGAACUGCCUUUGAAACUGUAUGGCUAGAGUGUCGGAGGGGAUGGCGGAAUUGCUAAUGUAGAGGUGAAAUUCGUAGAUAUUAGCAGGAACACCGGUGGCGAAGGCGGCCAUCUGGACGACAACUGACGCUGAGGCGCGAAAGCGUGGGGAUCAAAC
This 250-nucleotide ribosomal RNA is filed under the name uncultured bacterium. RNAcentral's name for it is "partial 16S ribosomal RNA". It matches the Rfam family "Bacterial small subunit ribosomal RNA", at positions 524 to 773 of the family's 1533-position model. The record is from RNAcentral.